Xenopus tropicalis (tropical clawed frog) is the source of this 2495-nucleotide RNA transcript. It is a transcript of the gene named SH3 domain binding kinase 1 like, with no coding region annotated. The record is from RefSeq and is a predicted model, not a curated record. The transcript has 6 exons. NCBI's taxonomy places the organism in Eukaryota, Metazoa, Chordata, Amphibia, Anura, Pipidae.
UCUCAAGACUCAAGACCUUCAUCUGGAGCAGGUUGUGGAGACUGCAUCUCUUAGAAAGAAGUCAUUUUGGUCACCUGUUUAGACGGAAGCUGCCACAAGUCAUCUCCAAGUGCCCCAGAUCAAAGACAAUCCAAAAGACAGACACAGUCAGUCCACAAUGCUUGGAGCAUCACAAAUUGGAGACCAUUACCACGUUAUCAAGAAGCUGGGCCAGGGUACCUUUAGCCAUGUCCUGCUGGCUCGAGAACGGAUCUCAGGUCAUUCUGUUGCCCUGAAGUUUGUGAGGAAGGACAGAACUCGCCAGGCAGCCUUCCUUCAUGAGUUAAACAUUUCAAUCUCCCUCUCGGACUACCCAGGAAUAAUAAAAACCUAUCCCACCUACAUUGAGACGUUGGAUUACUUCAUUUUCACGCAAGAGCUGGCACCGGCUGGGACACUUCACUCAAUCAUUGAGUCAGAGGUUGGCAUUCCAGAAGAGGUGGUGAAACGUUGUGCGGUGCAAAUCACGGCGGCGCUGGACUACAUUCAUGGCCGAGGACUUGUGCAUAGAGACCUGAAGCCUGAUAAUGUUUUACUGAUGGAUAAAGAAUGUUAUCACAUUAAGCUUUGUGAUUUUGGUUUCACUCAGAACGUGGGCUUCCUGGUCCCUUCAAUGUCGCACAUAAUUCCAUAUAUGCCACCGGAACUUUGCAGCCUCAAGCCUAAUCAUCUACUUGUCUUGGGUCCAAGUAUGGACAUCUGGUCUCUUGGAAUUCUCCUGUUUGUGGCACUGACUGGUUACUUCCCAUGGGAAGAAGCUCUUGGACAUAACCAAAAGUACCAACUGUUUGUCCAUUGGAAGAAUAAUAGAAAUUAUGUUCCGACACCUAUCUUAUGGGAUAGGUUCACACAGGAGGCAUUGGAUAUGUUUCUAAUGCUGCUCUCCGAGAUUCCCUGUGCUAGACACCCCCCUGAUACUGUCCUGAAGUUUCUUCAUUUCCCCUGGAUGGCUAAAAACAACAGUGAUGGUUUGGUGGUAGAAGGUGAUCUAAACAUCAUCAUUCUCGAAGACAACAACGAGCUGCCAGUCAUUGAGUACAUAAUACAAGAGCAGGAACAAGUGAUAGUGGUUGAAAACACAGAUGAUAUAGAAUUUAUGUAUGUGGACAACGCACAAAUGCACCUAGACCCCAACAACCCGGUUAUUAUGCUCCUGUCGGAGAACACUUCGCUAAGUCUGGGAUCGGAAAUCGACAUCACCUAAACCUCAUCUGCUCCUCAAUGUGGUUUAGCAAGUACAGGACAACUGUGUCCAAUCUGCCCAAGUGGGAGGCACGACUGGGAAGUGGCUACGUCCAGUGUGGCUUUCUGACUCAAAACAAGACAUCAUUUGUAUUAAGAAAAGGCACAGUAGACUGGGUGGGGCUUUAUUUAGCCAACAAAGAAUGUCUACAGAGACCAGAGGAUAUGCAGGGUCACUGGCCCUUUAAGGUUUUUCCAUAGAGACUUGGAGAACGGAAGGCGAGAGAAUUCAGCUGAGUCUCGAGGAGAUGAGCUUUCACAAUCAACAUGUCUAAAUGCUCAAUAUGAGGAGCUUCAUUUCUGUUCUUUUACAGUGGGGUUUUCUCAUGCCCCCCCCCCAUAGGUCUCUGUACAAAUGCAAUUCCAGCCCCCCCUUUAGUUAUACCAUUGGCCAAGUAUCUAGUUGUCUAGUGGGUAGCAAAGCUAUCACCCCGGAAGCCUUGUAAGGCCAUUAGGUGUACAUGGUAUUAUUUCCAGCAGUAUGGGUGGGUAUUAGCAUUGACUUGAGCCAUUUAGAUGUAUUGUGCACAUUACGGGGCUGUGUGCUCCCUCAAAGAUCAGCUGACAGGAAGUGAUGCAGCUCUAACUGUAACAGGAAGUAGUGUGGGAGCAAAAGGCAGAACUCUGCCCAUUCAUUGGCUGAUGGGGCCUAGCAUGUAUGUGUGCCUUGGCUUGUUUGUGUGCACUGUGAAUCCUAUGAUCCCAGGGGGCGGCCCUUAGUGUGUAAAAUGGCAGUUUUCUAUUUAGGAUUACCCAAUGGCACAUACUACUAAAAAUGUAUAUUAUUAUGAAAAUGGUUUAUUUAGAUGACGCAGGGUUUUACAUAUGAGCUGUUUAUGCAAUAUAUUUUUAACCUACAUUGUUUGGGGAAAUAGUUUUCCUGUUAGCAAAACAUCAAGCUCCAUGAAACUGAAAAUAAAAUAAUAUAAAACAUAAAGGUUCUGUUGUCGCUUUGGUUGGAGUGCAUUUGCUUACCUACCUGCCCGCUGUUUGCAGACUGUCAGCACCGCUGUUCCAGCUUUAUAUUGUCAGUAAUACACAUACUCAAACACAAUCAAAUCUGUCGACGCUGAAGUAGGAUGGAAACCACAGCAAAUAACCCCUGAGUUCCACCGUACUGAGCAGGGCUGACAGGCUGCAUGCCUCGGCAAAUCCCACCAUUUCAUCAGCUCAAAUUGCUGCCCAUUCAGGCUUCCACCUGUCACUUUAACUUG